AAAUUUGAUAUACACGUACUCAAAAUUUUUAUACAACCUACAAUGCCAAAAUGUACAGGCACAAAUAAAUGUAUUUUCUCUGUUGGAUUUCAUUCUGAAUGCUUGUUUUCCCUUAGCUUAUUUUUAUAUUCUCUAGAAGUAACCCACAGACUAUCAACUAUAAAUCAUGCAGGGCUGGGUAAUCUUCUUAAAUAGACAUAUAUUAGAUUUACUUCACCUACUUUCCUAUUCUGUCACUGAUCAUGAAUUAAGGUCCUUUAUCUUAUCCACCUUUAAUGUCAAAUUAAUAAUGAAAUAUAUAUUACUGGACAGACUUAAGGAAAACUAGAUCUUAAAAGAAUUAAUAAUCUCAAAAGACAGGUGUUUGCCAAAAGUUAUACAUAGCAAAUAUGCUAUUUAUUAAAAUGCAGACCCUCAUUCUAGAUGGCAUAUGCCUAUUAAUCCUACAGUAAAAGUAUAGUCAUGUAUCACAACCAUUUAGGGACAGUAGAUGUAGCACAUUCCAUGUGGAGAUUUUUAAAAAGACAAAACAGUAUCUACUGCCAAAAGCCUUAUCAUCAGGGCCUUAAUAGCCCAAACUUCCAAACCCAAAGAUCUGCACGGUCUAACUUAUACAAAAUUCCAAAUUUUUUUCUUUUUAAAUUCUAUACUUUUGCAAACUUGGAACUCACAAAAACUAUUCUAUUAUCUGAUAUAUAAGAUCAAAGUAGUGAAUUAUGAGUAAAAAACAUUUUCCCAUUUUGUUAUUUCUAACAGGAAAGACUACAAACCAUAGCCAAUGCAUUUUGUUUGUCUAGCAUUAGUAAGUACUUCUCUUUGGGGAUUGAAAACUUAACGUAGACUCAACAUUAAUAAUAAUUGCUUGUUUUCAGAAUGGGACAUAUACUUCUAUAGGAAAAGCUGAUUUGUCCAUGUUUUAGACCUAUAUGUUUUGUUUUCUGACUGAUUACUGACUUGUAGCAGAGCAAUUUACAUACAUGCCUUCUGUUAGUCAAAAACAAAAGGAGUAUCUACACCAAAACUAUUCAUUGUAUAUAACAUAUAUAACACAUGAGAAACAACUUUAUCUAUAAUGGAUUAUCACUUUGACUUUUUUUUACAUAAGUUAAAAAGGGCUUAAGUAUAUGGGGGAGAAAAGGAAGAAUAUAAUAAAAAUUGGAACAAAAUUUCUAUCUGAAAAAUUAAAGAAUGCUGACUCCAGGUUAAAAUGAAGUCAUAACAGCUUUCCUUGACACUGGUCCCAAUUUCCCUUUGAAAUACAUAUGAAUUCAUUAAGAGGUAGACAAGAAGAAAGUAAACUGCCAUGUAUUCCAGUUUCUGGCCCCAAGAGUUGGAUCAAAGAGAAAACUGGGUCGACCCCUGCAGCUUUCAGAGGCAGAAAGGAUUCUAUAAACUUCCCCAAACCCUUCCAUAGCUAAGAUCAGUAAUCUCCUCCCUGUAUCCAUUUAGAAUUGUACUGUACCACACAUAGAAGGUAUGGUUUCCAAACAUAAACUAUAGUCAGGAAGAAACAAGAUUCAUUCUAGGGGUAAUAUAUACCAAAGAUUAUAGUUCUUUCACAUUCUCUACCUGGUUAGUUAAAUUGGUUUGUAUUCAUUAGAUUAUAAAUCCUUUUCCUCAUCCCUAAAUGCCAAAGAACUAGGCUGUGUAAACAGCAGACCAACCCCUGACAUUUCAACAGAACCCACGGUAGAUAGGGGCUGUUCAUACCUACUCAUCCAACUUUUUAGGUUCGUUUUUUUCUCCCAACUUUCUAGGUUCUGCUAAAAGUCAUCUC
This 1777-nucleotide long non-coding RNA is filed under the name Canis lupus familiaris (dog). RNAcentral describes it as "lncRNA (ENSCAFG00000051250.1, ENSCAFG00805029760.1)". Lineage: Eukaryota; Metazoa; Chordata; Mammalia; Carnivora; Canidae. The record is from RNAcentral.